This 548-nucleotide ribosomal RNA is filed under the name uncultured prokaryote. RNAcentral's name for it is "bacterial SSU rRNA". It matches the Rfam family "Bacterial small subunit ribosomal RNA", at positions 355 to 896 of the family's 1533-position model. The record is from RNAcentral.
UGGGGAAUUUUGGACAAUGGACGCAAGUCUGAUCCAGCCAUUCCGCGUGCAGGACGAAGGCCUUCGGGUUGUAAACUGCUUUUGUACGGAGCGAAAAAGCUCUUAUUAAUACUAGGAGUCCAUGACGGUACCGUAAGAAUAAGCACCGGCUAACUACGUGCCAGCAGCCGCGGUAAUACGUAGGGUGCAAGCGUUAAUCGGAAUUACUGGGCGUAAAGCGUGCGCAGGCGGUUAUAUAAGACAGAUGUGAAAUCCCCGAGCUUAACUUGGGAACUGCAUUUGUGACUGUAUAGCUAGAGUACGGCAGAGGGGGAUGGAAUUCCGCGUGUAGCAGUGAAAUGCGUAGAUAUGCGGAGGGACACCGAUGGCGAAGGCAAUCCCCUGGGCCUGUACUGACGCUCAUGCACGAAAGCGUGGGGAGCAAACAGGAUUAGAUACCCUGGUAGUCCACGCCCUAAACGAUGUCAACUGGUUGUUGGGUCUUCACUGACUCAGUAACGAAGCUAACGCGUGAAGUUGACCGCCUGGGGAGUACGGCCGCAAGGUUG